UGUAAGAAUAAAUGGUCGAACAGACCAAACUUUUAAACUUCUACACCUAAAAUUUAUCUUAAUCCAACAUCGAGGUCGCAAUCUUUUUUUUCGAUUUGAUCUCUUUAAAAACAUUACGCUGUUAUCCCUUAAGUAACUUAAUCUUUUAAUCAUAAAUUAUGGAUCAAUUCACUUAUUAAUGAAAAAAAGUUAAUCUAAUUUUCCUAUCACCCCAAUAAAAUAAAUUAUAAAGCUUUAAAGGGUCUUCUCGUCCUUCAAUAUUAUUUUAGCUUUUUAACUAAAAAAUUAAAUUCUACAUCAAUUUAUUAGAGACAAUAAAUAUUUCAUUCAAUCAUUCAUUCAAGCUUCUAAUUAAGAAACUAUUUAUUAUGCUACCUUUGCACAGUCAAUAUACUGCGGCCUUUUUCAAUGGGCAGAUUAGACUUUAUAUU
This 431-nucleotide ribosomal RNA is filed under the name Lentistivalius insolli. Its description in RNAcentral is "partial 16S ribosomal RNA". The record is from RNAcentral. Lineage: Eukaryota; Metazoa; Arthropoda; Insecta; Siphonaptera; Stivaliidae.